This 400-nucleotide ribosomal RNA is filed under the name phytoplankton environmental sample. RNAcentral describes it as "partial small subunit ribosomal RNA". It matches the Rfam family "Eukaryotic small subunit ribosomal RNA", at positions 587 to 985 of the family's 1831-position model. The record is from RNAcentral.
AGCUCAAGCAGCGUAUAUUUAUAUUGCUGCGUUUAAAAAGCUCGUAGUUGAAACGUCAGACGCGGGAGGGCGGACGGCCGUACCGGUCGCACUCGCCCGACCGAGCCAGGCGCGGAGGGCGCGCGUCGCUUGCACUUCGCCGUGUGAGCGCGCCGCCGCUGCACGUUCACCUUGAAGAAAUUGAACCGCUUAGAGGGGGCGAGCAGCUUGAACAGCUCAGCAUGGUAUGAUGGAACAUGGGCUCGUACUCAUUUUGUUGGUUAGAGAGUCGGCGAGCCAAUGAUUAACAGGGACUGCCGGGGGCAUUAGUACUCGGACGGGAGAGGUGAAAUUCAAGGAUCGUCCGAAGACUCCCUACUGCGAAAGCAUUUGCCAAGAAUGUUUUCAUUAAUCAAGAACG